ACCCGGUUAGCUCAAUCGGUAGAGCAUCAGACUCUUAAUCUGAGGGCUGCGAGUUCGAGUCUCGUACUGGGUG
This is a transfer RNA of Vittaforma corneae ATCC 50505, 73 nucleotides long. It matches the Rfam family "tRNA". From Rfam's summary of the family: Transfer RNA (tRNA) molecules are approximately 80 nucleotides in length. NCBI's taxonomy places the organism in Eukaryota, Fungi, Microsporidia, Nosematidae. The record is from Rfam.